AACGAACGCUGGCGGCAGGCCUAACACAUGCAAGUCGAACGCUGUAGCAAUACAGAGUGGCAGACGGGCGAGUAACGCGUGGGAACCUUCCCAGUGGUGCGGAAUAGCUCAGGGAAACUUGAGGUAAUACCGCAUAAGCCCCUAGGGGGAAAGAUUUAUCGCCAUUGGAUGGGCCCGCGUCGGAUUAGCUAGUUGGUGAGGUAAUGGCUCACCAAGGCAACGAUCCGUAGCGGUUUGAGAGAAUGACCAGCCACACUGGGACUGAGACACGGCCCAGACUCCUACGGGAGGCAGCAGUGGGGAAUCUUGGACAAUGGGCGCAAGCCUGAUCCAGCCAUGCCGCGUGAGUGACGAAGGCCUUAGGGUUGUAAAGCUCUUUUGCCGGGGACGAUAAUGACGGUACCCGGAGAAUAAGUCCCGGCUAACUUCGUGCCAGCAGCCGCAGU
Molecule: ribosomal RNA, 446 nt
Filed under: uncultured bacterium
Lineage: Bacteria
Description: bacterial SSU rRNA
Rfam family: Bacterial small subunit ribosomal RNA
Source: RNAcentral